This 75-nucleotide transfer RNA is filed under the name Capra hircus (goat). RNAcentral describes it as "tRNA-Ala". It matches the Rfam family "tRNA". Rfam says of the family: Transfer RNA (tRNA) molecules are approximately 80 nucleotides in length. Lineage: Eukaryota; Metazoa; Chordata; Mammalia; Artiodactyla; Bovidae. The record is from RNAcentral. RNAcentral also lists the same sequence under 1 other name.
GCCCUGAUGGUCCAGCGGCUAAGACUCUGCGCUUGCAAUGCAGGGGGCCCAAGUUCGAUCCUUGGUCAGGGAGCU